UCUGGUUCUCCAUGAUGCUUCAGUCACAGAAGCACGAGGAAGGAGCUGGAUUUCUUUCACACACUCCUUAGGAUGUUAUAGGCAGUGCUGUCUCGGAGGCGCCUGGAUCCUGUUCCUCUCAGAGCUGCAGCUCUGCGCUCAGACACAGGAGGCGCUGUUCCUGUCAGAACUGUGUCUCUACACUUCUGCGCUUGGCCACAGGGGGCGCUGUUAACAUCAUUGCUACAGGCAGAGGAGAUGCUGUUCCUCUCAGAGCUGCGACUCUGCACUCAGCCACAGGAGGUGCUGCUCCUAUCAGUUCCAGGAAGGAAGUUCUCUGUUCUUGUCUUUUUAUUUGCUUUGAGUAUUUAUUUGCUCUUGUUUCUCCCCCCACCUACCCCCCACCCCACGCUCUGUUCAAGCGCACGGUGUUGUCCGUUUCCAUGGUAUCUGUGCGCUACGCCAUUAGAAGAGGCGGUCAAUAAUGCCACUGCCAGGGUGAUGACCAACAAGAAGCUCGUCAGCCCGUACGCCAACGGUGAGGGGCUCAGCUCGUUGCCCUACGGUACUGCCCUC
RNAcentral lists this long non-coding RNA (555 nucleotides) under Lepisosteus oculatus (spotted gar). RNAcentral describes it as "lncRNA (ENSLOCG00000023027.1)". Lineage: Eukaryota; Metazoa; Chordata; Actinopteri; Semionotiformes; Lepisosteidae. The record is from RNAcentral.